Molecule: ribosomal RNA, 512 nt
Filed under: uncultured bacterium
Lineage: Bacteria
Description: bacterial SSU rRNA
Rfam family: Bacterial small subunit ribosomal RNA
Source: RNAcentral
AAUAGAUACCCAGGUAGUCCACGCUGUAAACGAUGAUCACUAGAUGUUGGUCCGAUUUUUUGGAUCAGUGUCGUAGCUAACGCGUUAAGUGAUUCGCCUGGGGAUUACGGCCGCAAGGCUAAAACUCAAAGGAAUUGACGGGGGUCCGCGCAAGCGGUGGAACAUGUGGUUUAAUUCGACACUACGCGAGGAACCUUACCUGGGCUUGACAUGCAUUCGACAGUCUCAGAGAUGAGAUCUUCUAGGCUUCGGUCUAGACGUUUGCACAGGUGCUGCAUGGCUGUCGUCAGCUCGUGUCGUGAGAUGUUGGGUUAAGUCCUUUAACGAGCGCAACCCUUGCUAUCAGUUGCAACUGCCUUUUUAGGUAAAGCACUCUGAUGGGACUGCCUGGGAAACCAGGAGGAAGGUGGGGACGACGUCAAGUCAUCAUGGUCCUUAUGUCCAGGGCUACACACGUGUUACAAUGGCUAAGUACAAAGGGAAGCUACAUCGCAAGAUGAUGCUAAUCUCCU